AUGGAUGCCCACCUCUCUUGGAGAAACCCUAGCCGCCUCCUCUUACUCGCCUUAUUUGGAAGCAAGAAAUCCUGGCGCGUGGGGCAUCUUGGCUGCCCAAGUUUCCUUAGCCUAUUAUUAUUAUUAUUAUUAUUAUUAUUAUUAUUAUUAUUAUUAUUAUUAUUAUUAUUGAUGAUGAAGGCUCCAAGUUAUAUUUAGAAGUUACAAUAUCUCCAUUAGAAAAAAUGUAUCCAAAGAAAAAAUAGGUCAAUUAUGGAUUAUCAUACCUAUCUUCACCCCUUGUCUCAGUAAUUGGUCAACCCAAUAUUCUCCUCUCAUUUCUAUUUG
This 327-nucleotide long non-coding RNA is filed under the name Elaeis guineensis (African oil palm). RNAcentral describes it as "long non-coding RNA (EGUI_LNC019903)". Lineage: Eukaryota; Viridiplantae; Streptophyta; Magnoliopsida; Arecales; Arecaceae. The record is from RNAcentral.